Molecule: ribosomal RNA, 4462 nt
Filed under: Diderma niveum
Lineage: Eukaryota; Evosea; Eumycetozoa; Physariida; Didymiaceae
Description: partial 28S ribosomal RNA
Rfam family: Eukaryotic large subunit ribosomal RNA (bases 2995-3550)
Source: RNAcentral
GAGUUGACACACUAGCUCCAGGGGGGUUGGACCUUCGUCGCGGUCUAGCGCAAACGCCCCCCUAAACACACCUUGAUGCUGGGAAGCCCUUAGAGCCCAGGCCGCCAAAGUCGGGUCCGAAAGGACUCGGCCUGAGCUACGAUUUGCGUAGCGGGAGAUAGCGCCUGGGAUUGGGUAAUCAGCAGGGUAACUACUUAACCUAUUGGAAAAAAGGGGCCUUUCGGGGCUUGCUGUGCCAGUAGUAACGGUAGGCUCUCAACGACUGAACGGGUGUGGGUUGGCAGUUGGGGGGACUUCGGUUCCCCGCCCUGCUGGCUUAAGAUACAGUCUACUCCCCAGGGAAACCUGGCCUGCCCUUAAGCAAGGCGGGGACUUUAGACUCCGGUCGGAAAUGGCCGGAAGAGGUUGGUAUAAAGGAACUAUGACUCUCUUGAAAGUAGCUCGAGAGAGAUAGCUGGGUGCCCGGGAAACUGGGUACUACGCCAGCUAGUUAAGGCCUUACGGUGGUAGGGGAAGUCCCCACGUGCAGUAUCAUCGACAGUAGACUAGUACUGGGACCAGGGAUGGCCCGGGAAUACCCUGCUGGAAGCUUUAGCGACACCACCUGGUUCGGGGGAGGUCGGGCGGGGGCCAUCACUUCAGGGUGAUCCUGCUCGGUUAAUCCCGAUGUGAAUCGGAGUAACGUCUGAUCGCGGUAACGUGCGGUAAGGGGUGCGUUGGGUAGGUUCGCCUACCUGGCGUGAGGUACGUACUAAACCCACCCAUAACAGGGUGCCUGCUAUGUGAGCACUGCGCAAGCAAGCUAGCAGGGUGGCAUUGAGGCCGGGACCAAAUACCCGGAAGAGCCUGGUACAAUUGAAGGUAGCCAAAUGCCUCGUCAUCAUACGAAAAAAAGGUACGGGUAAAACUCGGUCCUAGAAUGCUUCGUCAUCAUACGUACAAAGGGGGGUCCGGGAGUUUCUCGGUUGGGGUGUUCCGGCCAGUUCAUUUUGGCUGGGGAAUUCCUGGAUCCCAGUGUGCCUCGUCAUCAUACGUUUAAGGGGGGUCCGGGAUUUUCUCGGAUCUUCCAGUGCGCCUCGUCAUCAUACAAUGUGGGAGGGGUCCGGGAUUUUCUCGGCCGGGAUUUUCUCGGACCCCAUGCGUCUCGUCAUCAUACAAUGGGAGGGGUCCGGGAUUUUCUCGGCCGGGAUUUUCUCGGACCCCGUGCGUCUCGUCAUCAUGCUGUUAGGAGGGGCCCGGGAUUUUCUCGGCCGGGAUUUUCUUGGGCCCCGUGCACUCGUCGUCAUCGAAUGUGAGGGGGGUACGGGUUUUUCCCGUAUUCCAUGAAAAAUGUAUCUCAUCAUACAUUGGGGGGGAUCUUCGUUGGUUGCAGGCAGGACCGGGUUUUUCUCGGGAGGUUUUACGACCCUUACCAUGCCGUGCCCUAGGUUUCGGUUUAGCACCCGGUACGCAGCACAACCAUUUUUCUGGAGGGGGGGGAGUUUUUCCCUUUCCUUUUUUUCCGUGCUUGGAAAAGAACAGGACGAGAUCAUAGCGUAGCUGUCGGGGGUCUUCGUGGUCGCCAGGUGGGGUGAGGGGCUUGUCUCCUUAUCUUGCCGUGUCUAUAGGUUUCGGUUUCGCAGCCGGAACGCAAGCAGCGAACUUCUUUCUGGGGGAGAUUCAUUUCUUCCUUUUCCUGCCGGAAAAACAGGGGGCAAGACCAUUUUGUGUGCCUGGUUGCCGAAUAUUGCCGUCACCACCGAAACCGUAGGUGCCCUAGCGGGUGCCCGUGGCGUAGGUGAUCCAGCCUAGUAGGGAAGUGAGCGUAAGCGCAUGACCUAAAAAGCCGCACCAAAUUACUCGGAGGGGUGCCCCUAAAAAGGUGCUUCGAUGAGCAGCCAACCGAACCCCGGAUUUCCGGGUAGUAGGAGGUCCAGAGACUAAAAGGUGUAACGGGGGGGUAAAAUCCCCCGGAGGAGUUAUAGUCCGUCGUAGGGUCCCGAUGAGCGUAGCGAGUGGCUUGUAAGGUUUUUGUCCCGGAUUUUCUGGGGUGGGAGCCUAAGCAUCGGCCAGAGGCUUGGUAACUCGGUAGGGACCCGCUUUAGACGUUAAUUUGUGACGCGCAUGAAUGGAUUAAUUUAUUGGUCCAUAAAAGUCAGGGGGGGGGCUUUCAGGAGCCACUUUCAACUCUCCCUUGGCUAGUCAACUAUCGAUAACAGGGAUGAGUCGGUAGUGGCGAGACAACCUGGUACGAGGGACCUCUCGAGCGCAAGCUUGAGAAAAUCUCGUGGCGAGCCCCUGGCGAGUAAUUGCUGGAUGGCCGUCGUAACGCGCGCAAAGGUGUCGGGUGCCCUGAUUUUACCGUCAGGGUGCCUUAAGGAACGUGCUACUCCCACCCGCGAGGGUGCAAACCACUGGAGCUCUCAUCCGGUAAAGGUGGUUUGAGCUUUUGAUCUCGGUAACAAAUGACCGAGGGAGGCCGGUAUCAAGGUAAUGAGAUUCCCACUGUCCCUACCUACUAUCUAGCGAAACCACAGCCAAGGGAACGGGCUUGGCACAAUUAGCGGGGAAAGAAGACCCUGAACUCAACGGGGUCAACAGGGGGCACCUUCCGGGGUGUGUAACCCUCUAGUCAACUCGAUACAACUCUUGGCAAACCAUUUUAGCGAGGUUUCCAGGGGAGUACAAGCAAUCGGGUGGCAAGACAACCUGGUACGAGGAAGGCUUGGAUGGCAACGUCUGAGUUAAUCUCGUGGCGAGUCCUUUAGCGAGGGCCGUCGUAACGCACGCAAAGGUGUCGGUCCGGGUAUUUUCGGGUACUUGGGCUUAAGGAACGUGCUAUUCCCACGCAAGGUUGUAGAGCAAUCUAUGGCCGAGUGUGUUCUCUUGAUUAGGGCUUGUACCCCGAAGCUUGAGAAAGCGGUGCUACGGCUAUCUGGUAAUAGGUUUAGCGGCCUUGCACCCCCCGUGGUUCGAUCCUGAGCGGAAAUGCUCGGGAUGAAGCUGGUAAAAAAAGUUGAGCUUGACUCUAGGCACAGAAGCGAGGUGAUUCUAAAGGUGUAGCAUAGGUGGGAGGGCCUGGCCCGACCUUGAAAUACCACUACUUUCGACAUCGCUUUGCUAAUGCUGUAACGAACGAACGACCCCCAGGACCGUUGCCCGCAAGGGUGACACUUGGUAAGGUCAUAUUCUAGCGCUUUCCUCGUUGGGUACGAUGGUUUGGCUCCUCUGGGAUAGUACUUCGGGACUGCAAACUGGGCUUCCGGGUUCGGUGCGCAUUGUUCUGGGGGAACCAGGGAUGGUUGGACUGUCCUCUGCCUGGCAAUUUUGGGUACGUAAGCCGUGUAGCAGACUAUCUGUGUUGGGGAGUUUGGCUGGGGCGGAAAACUGCUACACGGCAACGGCAGUCUCCUAAGGUCCACUCAGAGACGACAGAAACGUCUCGUAGAGCAUAAAGGUAAAAGUGGGCUUAACUCGCAUUUUCAGUAGUAAUGUGAAGCAAGAAAUUGAGGCUUAACGAUCCUUAGCAGCGGGUGCCAGCCCAUGCUUGAGGUGAGAGAAAAGUUACCACAGGGAUUGAUCAAACGCGUGGCUUUCCGGGGAAUUACGGCUCGCAUGUCUUGGACGCUCGACGUAAAGGCUGUUUUUUUCCGAUCCAGGCUCUAGUAGGGGCUCCCUGAUUUUUCGGGGGGUUUCGAGGGGGUCAGGAUAUCAGGUUCCGAGAAGGGGUUUAUGAGAAGGCAACUUACCCGAAAAGUACGCUUUAGCCUCACGGCGACAGUGGAAAUGGAGGCGGACUGCCGUUUUUCCCGGAUUUUGCAACCCCGGGGGAAUCUUUUGGAUCCCAGUCUACAUGGGGGGCGUGGCGCAGGUUGCCCCCCAUACAGGCGACACACCGAGAUGCUGGGACAACCCAAACCAAACAACUUCAGUACCAAGCGUUCUCCGGGGAAACCGGGGCGUGGAGUGAUCAUCACCUCCUUUUGGAGCCGGUGGUUACGGGUUAUAAUCUGAUUUUGGGGUCUACUAUGCAGGCGACAAGGUCUACCCAAGGGGCUAACAGUGGAAGAGAGUAGGCUUCUGCCUUCCUUCCGAGCAAUUGCCCUAUGGAAAUGGUGACUACGCGUCUCAACGACUGCAAAGGUGUGGGUGCUGAUGGGCGUAAGCUGUUACCCUUAAAAGUGAUAGUGAUACGAUCCGCCGGUGCUUAAGGUACAGUCUAUCCCCACCCGCAAGGGUGCCCGAACUCCCAACCAGAAAAGUAUUGGACCUUCGGGUCCGAGAAAACCUGGGAAUCCACCACUGCAGGAUUCAGUUCUGGGACAUGAGUUUCUCCGUUAUCGAUGGAUAUCCGUUAAGUAGUCUCUGACCCGGCACAUUUUUUCACCGCCGGCUUCAGGACGAAAGGGUACCGGGUAUUUCGGGGGGUUCGUGUGGUACGGGGAACUGGCUUGUGGCCGCCAAGCGUUCAUAGCGACGUGGC